UUCCUCAAGGAGCGCUGCAGCGACCGGGCAUGAGGCCCGGCGUCAGGCUUGAGAUUUCCAACCGCGCUCACCUGCA
Molecule: non-coding RNA, 76 nt
Filed under: Ramlibacter tataouinensis
Lineage: Bacteria; Pseudomonadati; Pseudomonadota; Betaproteobacteria; Burkholderiales; Comamonadaceae
Description: SAH sequence
Rfam family: SAH (S-adenosyl-L-homocysteine) riboswitch aptamer
Source: Rfam by way of RNAcentral